CAUGACAAAUGAACACGACCUCAUAUAAUCUUGGGAAUACGGCCCAUAAGUCUCUACCCAAUGACCUUAAAUCAUUGGACUAUGAAGGAAAGUGAACCUAUA
This 102-nucleotide non-coding RNA is filed under the name Bacillus gobiensis. Its description in RNAcentral is "Guanine sequence". It matches the Rfam family "Purine riboswitch aptamer". Rfam says of the family: Riboswitches are metabolite binding domains within certain messenger RNAs that serve as precision sensors for their corresponding targets. Allosteric rearrangement of mRNA structure is mediated by ligand binding, and this results in modulation of gene expression. A class of riboswitches that selectively recognises guanine and becomes saturated at concentrations as low as 5 nM. The record is from Rfam by way of RNAcentral. Lineage: Bacteria; Bacillati; Bacillota; Bacilli; Caryophanales; Bacillaceae.